This 453-nucleotide ribosomal RNA is filed under the name Emiliania huxleyi. RNAcentral's name for it is "partial small subunit ribosomal RNA". It matches the Rfam family "Bacterial small subunit ribosomal RNA", at positions 660 to 1092 of the family's 1533-position model. Lineage: Eukaryota; Haptophyta; Isochrysidales; Noelaerhabdaceae. The record is from RNAcentral.
AAUGGAAUAAACUUAGUAAAGAUAAAAUUUUUUUAUAAAGUUUGGAACAUCAAAUGCUAAAGCAAUUUUCUAACAAUUGAAAUGUAACUAUCGUUACUAAUAACUGACUUUUUUAAUUGCUAAAGUUUGAGUAGCAAAAGGAAUUAGAGACUCCUGUAGUUCAAACCUUCACCGAUGAAAUUUUUUUUUUAACGAAAAAUAGUUAACACAAAAUUUUCUGCCUGAACAGUACGGUCGCAAGGCUGAAAUUUAAAGAAUUAGAUGAGAAAAAAUAUAAUUCGUGGAUUAUGUUACUUAAUUCGAAACAACGCGCGAAUCUUACCAAUGUUUGCAUAAAAAUAAGUUUUACACUAUUUAGUGUUUAGAAAAUCCUUUUUUCAUAUUUUUCAUUUUUACAAAUGUUGCAUGGUUGUCGUCAGUUCGUGUUGCAAAAUGUACGAUUAAUUUCGUAAA